GUGCCAGCAGCCGCGGUAAUACGAAGGGUGCAAGCGUUACUCGGAAUUACUGGGCGUAAAGCGUGCGUAGGUGGUCGUUUAAGUCCGUUGUGAAAGCCCUGGGCUCAACCUGGGAACUGCAGUGGAUACUGGGCGACUAGUGUGUGGUAGAGGGUAGCGGAAUUCCUGGUGUAGCAGUGAAAUGCGUAGAGAUCAGGAGGAACAUCCAUGGCGAAGGCAGCUACCUGGACCAACACUGACACUGAGGCACGAAAGCGUGGGGAGCAAACAGGAUUAGAUACCCUGGUAGUCCACGCCCUAAACGAUGCGAACUGGAUGUUGGGUGCAAUUUGGCACGCAGUAUCGAAGCUAACGCGUUAAGUUCGCCGCCUGGGGAGUACGGUCGCAAGACUGAAACUCAAAGGAAUUGACGGGGGCCCGCACAAGCGGUGGAGUAUGUGGUUUAAUUCGAUGCAACGCGAAGAACCUUACCUGGCCUUGACAUGUCGAGAACUUUCCAGAGAUGGAUUGGUGCC
This 515-nucleotide ribosomal RNA is filed under the name uncultured Stenotrophomonas sp. Its description in RNAcentral is "bacterial SSU rRNA". It matches the Rfam family "Bacterial small subunit ribosomal RNA", at positions 505 to 1018 of the family's 1533-position model. Lineage: Bacteria; Pseudomonadati; Pseudomonadota; Gammaproteobacteria; Lysobacterales; Lysobacteraceae. The record is from RNAcentral.